GAGAAGCUUUUGACCGCCGAUUCGCUGAGAGUAGCUGCCCGUCGUCAUGUUAAGAGUUUCGUGACUGCUUACCGGUGGUGGAGGUGGACCUGUCGACCGGAGUCGCAGGUGGAACCCGGUGUGUUUCCGUCAGAACACUCGACAGACCGUUGGAUUAUUCUAAAAGAGGGAAUUUUUUGAAUUGGUAGAAAGGUUUCAGAGGGCUGCACCAAUCAGAAGCAAGGGACCGUUGGUCGGUAGGGUGGUUAGUCAAGCGGUCCGAAGGAGGAAAGCUUUUCUCGAGUCUCGUGCCUGAGAGAGAAUUACCUACCUUUUUUUUUACACUGAUACUAUUUGAUACUAAAUUGUUUCUAAAUGAUGUUUUUCUCUAUUAAAGAAGUCGCCAUAAACAAGCCAAUCUAAUUAG
RNAcentral lists this long non-coding RNA (406 nucleotides) under Brassica napus (rape). Its description in RNAcentral is "long non-coding RNA (BNAP_LNC006652)". Lineage: Eukaryota; Viridiplantae; Streptophyta; Magnoliopsida; Brassicales; Brassicaceae. The record is from RNAcentral.